This is a long non-coding RNA of Xiphophorus maculatus (southern platyfish), 355 nucleotides long. RefSeq lists it as uncharacterized. The transcript is spliced from 3 exons. NCBI's taxonomy places the organism in Eukaryota, Metazoa, Chordata, Actinopteri, Cyprinodontiformes, Poeciliidae. The record is from RefSeq and is a predicted model, not a curated record.
AGGAGAAGAAGAAAAAAAAACGAGGAGAAGAAGAAGAAGUGAGGGAUGCGGGAUUGGAAACGCUUGGCGCUCUCUUUGUCAACUCUCACUCUGACGGGGAGGAGAGAGAACCGGCUGGCACGCAGAGGCUGAGCAGGGCAGGCCGAGGAUGGCGAUUGACGUCGAGGGGACGGCGGCGUCGUGGCAGGUGGGAGCCGCGCUGACGAACCGGAACUGUCUUCCUGCAGGAAUGGACUUUGUUGGGCGAACUGAAGGAAGUGUUUGCCCGGCUUACCAUUGAUGCCAGGACCGCCACUGCUGAUUGGCUGACGAUACAACGGGAAACGGAAGAGAAAGGGGUGUUUGUUUUUAAUUG